GCUUCGGCUCCUAGCGGCGAACGGGUGAGUAACACGUGGGCAACCUGCCCGCAAGCUCGGGAUAACUUCGGGAAACCGGAGCUAAUACCGGAUACGCUUUUCCUCUGCAUGGAGGAAAAGGGAAAGACUUCGGUCGCUUGCGGAUGGGCCCGCGGCGCAUUAGCUAGUUGGUGAGGUAACGGCUCACCAAGGCAACGAUGCGUAGCCGACCUGAGAGGGUGACCGGCCACACUGGGACUGAGACACGGCCCAGACUCCUACGGGAGGCAGCAGUAGGGAAUUUUCCGCAAUGGGCGAAAGCCUGACGGAGCAACGCCGCGUGAGUGAUGACGGCCUUCGGGUUGUAAAACUCUGUUCUGAAGGAAGAAGUCCUGACGGUACUUCAGGAGAAAGCCCCGGCUAACUACAUGCCAGCAGCCGCGGUAAUACGUAGGGGGCAAGCGUUGUCCGGAUUUAUUGGGCGUAAAGCGCGCGCAGGCGGCUCUUUAAGUCAGGUGUGAAAGGCUGCGGCUCAACCGCAGAGCUGCACCUGAAACUGGGGAGCUUGAGUACAGGAGAGGAGAGUGGAAUUCCCGGUGUAGCGGUGGAAUGCGUAGAGAUCGGGAGGAACACCAGUGGCGAAGGCGACUCUCUGGACUGUAACUGACGCUGAGGCGCGAAAGCGUGGGGAGCGAACAGGAUUAGAUACCCUGGUAGUCCACGCCGUAAACGAUGAGUGCUAGGUGUUGGGGAUUUCCCUCCUCAGUGCCGAAGUUAACACAUUAAGCACUCCGCCUGGGGAGUACGGCCGCAAGGCUGAAACUCAAAGGAAUUGACGGGGGCCCGCACAAGCGGUGGGGCAUGUGGUUUAAUUCGAAGCAACGCGAAGAACCUUACCAGGGCUUGACAUCCCGCUGAUCGGUCUAGAGAUAGACCUUCCCUUCGGGGCAGCGGUGACAGGUGGUGCAUGGUUGUCGUCAGCUCGUGUCGUGAGAUGUUGGGUUCAGUCCCGCAACGAGCGCAACCCUUAUCUUUAGUUGCCAGCAUUCAGUUGGGCACUCUAGAGAGACAGCCGGUGAAAG
RNAcentral lists this ribosomal RNA (1061 nucleotides) under uncultured bacterium. RNAcentral's name for it is "bacterial SSU rRNA". It matches the Rfam family "Bacterial small subunit ribosomal RNA", at positions 82 to 1161 of the family's 1533-position model. The record is from RNAcentral.